AGCGAACGCUGGCGGCAGGCUUAACACAUGCAAGUCGAGCGGACGUAGCAAUACGUUAGCGGCAGACGGGUGAGUAACACGUGGGAACGUGCCCUUUGGUUCGGGAUAACCCAGGGAAACCUGGGCUAAUACCGGAUAAGCCCUUACGGGGAAAGAUUUAUCGCCAAAGGAUCGGCCCGCGUCUGAUUAGCUAGUUGGUGGGGUAAUGGCCCACCAAGGCUACGAUCAGUAGCUGGUCUGAGAGGAUGAUCAGCCACACUGGGACUGAGAUACGGCCCAGACUCCUACGGGAGGCAGCAGUGGGGAAUAUUGGACAAUGGGCGAAAGCCUGAUCCAGCCAUGCCGCGUGAGUGAUGAAGGCCUUAGGGUUGUAAAGCUCUUUCGGCGGGGAAGAUAAUGACGGUACCCGCAUAAG
This 415-nucleotide ribosomal RNA is filed under the name uncultured bacterium. RNAcentral's name for it is "bacterial SSU rRNA". It matches the Rfam family "Bacterial small subunit ribosomal RNA", at positions 29 to 487 of the family's 1533-position model. The record is from RNAcentral.